This is a non-coding RNA of Myotis lucifugus (little brown bat), 76 nucleotides long. Lineage: Eukaryota; Metazoa; Chordata; Mammalia; Chiroptera; Vespertilionidae. The record is from Rfam.
GAGAUACCCUUUUGGGGCAAGACUUGCUUCAGUGGGGCUUUGGUGCUCACUGCGUCUGCCCCCUGAGUGUGUCCCU